UUUUUUUUUUAAGGGAAUUUUGUGGACUCCCGGUGUAUCUCCCGCACUGGUUCGAUACCAGGGGGAUUUCCCCCCUAUAUGGUUAAAAAUUUUCGCGCGGGGAGAAGCAAAUCCUCACAAGGACAUUUUGUGUUUUUUUAAACCCCCCCCUUUUCCGGAAAAGUUUCCCGGAAAUUUUUUUUUGGGCACCCCAAAGGGGGACGCCCGGGGGAGGGAAAUUUUUCCCCCCCCCCCCCGAAAAAAAUGGUUUUUUUUUUUUUGAGGGGGGGCCAACGAUGGGGUCACCCCCGGCGAAUUUUCCCGCCCUAAAAAGGAUUGGGGGCAAACUAAGUUUUAAAAAUUGAUGGUUUCCGGGAUUUUGCAAAUUCCCCCCCAUGUUGCCAAUCUGUAAGUAAAAAAAAAGUGUACAAGGUUUCCGUAGGGGAACCUGCGGAAGGAUCAUUG
RNAcentral lists this ribosomal RNA (444 nucleotides) under Mangifera indica (mango). RNAcentral's name for it is "partial 18S ribosomal RNA". Lineage: Eukaryota; Viridiplantae; Streptophyta; Magnoliopsida; Sapindales; Anacardiaceae. The record is from RNAcentral.